UACGUAGGGUGCGAGCGUUGUCCGGAAUCAUUGGGCGUAAAGAGCGUGUAGGCGGCGCGAUAAGUCCGCUGUGAAAGUCCAGGGCUCAACCCUGGGAUGCCGGUGGAUACUGUCGGGCUCGAGUCCGGAAGAGGAGUGUGGAAUUCCUGGUGUAGCGGUGAAAUGCGCAGAUAUCAGGAGGAACACCAAUGGCGAAGGCAGCACUCUGGGACGUGACUGACGCUGAGACGCGAAAGCGUGGGGAGCAAACAGG
This 253-nucleotide ribosomal RNA is filed under the name uncultured bacterium. RNAcentral describes it as "partial 16S ribosomal RNA". It matches the Rfam family "Bacterial small subunit ribosomal RNA", at positions 524 to 776 of the family's 1533-position model. The record is from RNAcentral.